GUGGCUAUGUGUAACUGGCGAGGUAUACGGAAUAACCGUAGGGGAGCACAUAGUAUCGACAAGUCGCUCGCCUGGGCAAAAGGU
This 84-nucleotide non-coding RNA is filed under the name Gracilibacillus halophilus. RNAcentral describes it as "ZTP sequence". It matches the Rfam family "ZMP/ZTP riboswitch aptamer (pfl RNA motif)". From Rfam's summary of the family: Previously known as pfl RNA. ZMP is also known as AICAR. RNAcentral also lists the same sequence under 1 other name. Lineage: Bacteria; Bacillati; Bacillota; Bacilli; Caryophanales; Bacillaceae. The record is from RNAcentral.